Molecule: long non-coding RNA, 1033 nt
Filed under: Homo sapiens (human)
Lineage: Eukaryota; Metazoa; Chordata; Mammalia; Primates; Hominidae
Description: long intergenic non-protein coding RNA 1980
Source: RNAcentral
AUGAGGUGUAAUGGCGCCGGGAUGCGCUCUCCUCUUCUCAUUUGCCAAUUUAUUGCAGAUCCCUCCUCAAAAAAGUUUUGGGACUAACUCAGCCCCAUGGAGAUCAAGGUGAAUUAGAAAAACAACAAAACAAAACAAGAUUCAUUUUAACAUCUCAUUUUUCUAUCUCCAACUUUCCCUCCCCUCCUCCCACCCCAGGAAGAAAAGACUACGUUUGUUUCUGGUGAUACAUUCAUUGUAGGUGGGUGGGUGACUUCUAGAAGAGGAAAAUCAAGAAGAUUUGGAGAAGGAGUCUUGGAAGCUCUGGUGAAGUUUUCCAAAACUGGGAAGGACAGAGCCACAGGUCUGCCUGUUCUUUUGCUUUGCCAUUUGUGUGGAUACCUAGUAGAGCAAUUUGGGUGCCAUUCUUUGAGGAAUCCAUUGGAUCUGUCAGAAAGCUGAGUCUGCUCAGCCUGUGUUAGUGGAGAAGAGGGAAGGAAACUGGCUGGAGGCCGCUGGACCCACAGAGGACAAUAGACAAUCUCCUGCUAGAAAUGACAAACCAGUAUCUUGAGUAAAAUAAUGACUUGGACUGUAAGAAAUUAAUUAGAAAACAUCUGUGCAAUGUAGUGGAAGAAAAAGAAAAUGAGACCCAGAAGACCCAAAUCACAAAUCAAAAGGACCUCACAGAAGAUUCUACAAUUGAGAUUAUUUAUCCUGGGAUGCCCACUGGAUCCAAAGAGAGAAACUCUAUAGAAUUAUGAUCUAGGUUUGACUGACUCCUGGCAAGAAGCCCUACCCGCCAGCCAAUUUGGAUGAGCUCUUAUGCUCCAGAUCCAUCAUGAGAAGAACAUGCCCUGGAUUCCUGCUAUCCCUUUAGCCAUGGCUCCAAAAUUAACACACACAAGGAAGACCUGAGGUCAAUCCACAGCCUGGAUUCAAGUCACCUAAUACAUAGGAGAAUCAGAGCUACCCAGCCACACUCAAUCUACGUUAACUGAACCUCAGCUGACCUGCAGAUUUAUGAGUAUGAGAAUAAAGGCUUGUUAAUGUA